This 94-nucleotide ribosomal RNA is filed under the name [Coniosporium] sp. MA4956. RNAcentral's name for it is "Coniosporium sp. MA4956 5.8S ribosomal RNA". It matches the Rfam family "5.8S ribosomal RNA", at positions 1 to 92 of the family's 154-position model. From Rfam's summary of the family: 5.8S ribosomal RNA (5.8S rRNA) is a component of the large subunit of the eukaryotic ribosome. It is transcribed by RNA polymerase I as part of the 45S precursor that also contains 18S and 28S rRNA. The record is from RNAcentral. Lineage: Eukaryota; Fungi; Ascomycota; Eurotiomycetes; Chaetothyriales; Herpotrichiellaceae.
AAACUUUCAACAACGGAUCUCUUGGUUCUGGCAUCGAUGAAGAACGCAGCGAAAUGCGAUAAGUAAUGCGAAUUGCAGAAUUUCCGUGAGUCAU